AUUGAACGCUGGCGGCAGGCCUAACACAUGCAAGUCGAGCGGAUGAAGGGAGCUUGCUCCUGGAUUCAGCGGCGGACGGGUGAGUAAUGCCUAGGAAUCUGCCUGGUAGUGGGGGAUAACGUCCGGAAACGGGCGCUAAUACCGCAUACGUCCUGAGGGAGAAAGUGGGGGAUCUUCGGACCUCACGCUAUCAGAUGAGCCUAGGUCGGAUUAGCCAGUUGGUGGGGUAAAGGCCUACCAAGGCGACGAUCCGUAACUGGUCUGAGAGGAUGAUCAGUCACACUGGAACUGAAGCACGGUCCAGACUCCUACGGGGGGCAGCAGUGGGGAAUAUUGGACAAUGGGCGAAAGCCUAAUCCAGCCAUGCCGGGUGUGUGCAGAAGGUCUUCGGAUUGUAAAGCACUUUAAGUUGGGAGGAAGGGCAGUAAGUUAAUACCUUGCUGAUUUGACGUUACCAACAGAAUAAGCACCGGCUAACUUCGUG
This 484-nucleotide ribosomal RNA is filed under the name uncultured bacterium. RNAcentral's name for it is "partial 16S ribosomal RNA". It matches the Rfam family "Bacterial small subunit ribosomal RNA", at positions 30 to 507 of the family's 1533-position model. The record is from RNAcentral.